GGGGGAUUUAAUAAUUAAAUAAAAUAAUAAAAGAAAUUUUAAAAAUAUAUUUUAAUGGGGGUUAAAGUAUAUAUAAUAGAAUAGAUUUUAUAAUUUAUAGGGGAUUAGUAUUGAGAAAGAAUAUUGAAAUAAUUUGAAAAUUAAUUAUUUAAUAAGUAAAUUUAAUUUGUUGUAUCUUGGGUAUCAGAGUUUAUUAAAAAAAAUUUUUAUAUAAAAAAAUCUCGAAUUUUAAAGAGAUAAUUAAUUAUUAAAGUUAUUGUAUCAUAAAUAUUUUUAAUAAUUAAUUUGAAAUGAAAUGUUAAUCGUUUUAAAAUAUAUCUAGUUUUUUUAGAAAUAAAUUUAAUUUAGAAUUUUUUUUUAAUAAAAUUAAAUAAUUAAUUUUAUUAAAAAAAAAUUUAAUAUUUUAAGGGAUAAUCUUUAAAAUAAAAUAAUUAUAAUAUAUAAUUUUAAUUAAAUUAAAAUUUUUAAAAUUUAUAUUGUUUAUAAAUUAAUUUUUUUUAUAAAAAAUUUUAUUUAUAAAUAAAAUUUUUAAUUUAUUUAAUUUUAUAUAAAAAAUUAAUUUUUUAUAUAAAAAAAUUAGUUAUAAUGAUAAAAUUAGUAUAAUUUUAUAUUAAUAACAUUUGUAAAUAUAUUAUUUAUAUUAAAAUAUAUUAUUAGUAAAAUAAAUUAAAAAUAAAUAAAUUAAUAAUUAAAUAAAAGGAAUUUGGCAAAAAUUUAUAUUCACUUGUUUAUCAAAAACAUGUCUUUUUGUUAAUAAUUUAAAGUCGAAUUUGCCCACUGAUUUAUAUUAAAGGGCUGCAGUAUAUUGACUGUACAAAGGUAGCAUAAUCAUUAGUCUUUUAAUUGGAGACUUGUAUGAAAGAUUUGAUGAAAUAUUAACUGUCUCUUUUUUAUAAUUAGAAUUUAAUUUUUUAGUCAGAAAGCUAAAAUAAAUUUAAAAGACGAGAAGACCCUAUAGAGUUUUAUAAUUAAAUAAGUUAUAAAUUUUUAUUUAUUUAAAAUAAGAAUUAAUUUAAUUAUUUUAUUGGGGUGAUAAAAAAAUUAAAUAAACUUUUUUUUAUGUUAAACAUAAGUUAAUGAAAUUAUGAUCCAUAAUUUUUGAUUAUAAGAAAAAAUUACCUUAGGGAUAACAGCGUAAUUUUUUUUUUUAGUUCAUAUAAGAAAAAAAGUUUGCGACCUCGAUGUUGGAUUAAGAUAAAGUUUAAAUGCAGAAGUUUAAAAUUUUUGAUCUGUUCGAUCAUUAAAAUCUUACAUGAUCUGAGUUCAAACCGGCGUAAGCCAGGUUGGUUUCUAUCUUUAGAUAAUUAAAAUAUUUUAGUACGAAAGGAUUAAAUAUUAAAAAUAAUUUUAAAAUAAAGAAUUUUAUUAAUUAUAAUUAU
Molecule: ribosomal RNA, 1379 nt
Filed under: Heteropterus morpheus
Lineage: Eukaryota; Metazoa; Arthropoda; Insecta; Lepidoptera; Hesperiidae
Description: large subunit ribosomal RNA
Rfam family: Archaeal large subunit ribosomal RNA (bases 1126-1285)
Source: RNAcentral